RNAcentral lists this ribosomal RNA (117 nucleotides) under Octodon degus (degu). The record is from RNAcentral. Lineage: Eukaryota; Metazoa; Chordata; Mammalia; Rodentia; Octodontidae.
UACGGCCAUACCACCCUGAAUGUACCCGAUCUCGUCUGAUCUCAGAAGGUAAGCAGGGUCGGGCCUGGUUAGUACUUGGAUGGAAGAUUAAGGGGGAAAAUAAAGAAGAAACUGAGU